CGAAGGGUGCAAGCGUUGUUCGGAUUUAUUGGGCGUAAAGCGCGCGUAGGCGGACCUGCAAGUCAGAUGUGAAAUCUCGGGGCUCAACCUCGAAACUGCGUCUGAAACUACAGGUCUAGAAUCUCGGAGGGGAAGGGGAAUUUCGCAUGUAGGGGUAAAAUCCGUAGAUAUGCGAAGGAACACCAGAGGCGAAGGCGCCUUCCUGGACGAGUAUUGACGCUGAGGCGCGAAAGCGUGGGGAUCAAACAGGAUUAGAUACCCUGGUAGUCCACGCUGUAAACUAUGAACACUAGGUAUUGGAGGAUUUGACCCCUUCAGUGCCGUAGCUAACGCGUUAAGUGUUCCGCCUGGGAAGUACGGUCGCAAGACUA
Molecule: ribosomal RNA, 371 nt
Filed under: uncultured organism
Description: bacterial SSU rRNA
Rfam family: Bacterial small subunit ribosomal RNA
Source: RNAcentral